Molecule: unclassified non-coding RNA, 1368 nt
Filed under: Hevea brasiliensis (rubber tree)
Lineage: Eukaryota; Viridiplantae; Streptophyta; Magnoliopsida; Malpighiales; Euphorbiaceae
Source: RNAcentral
ACUUUAUCACAGCCUUCAGUGCAGUCAGCUGCUUCUCGUUGACAUCAUUCUGUGCAGUAGUAGGUGGUGCAUUUCCAGAUUUGACAGGUGAAGAUACUCUGUUUGCUUCAUUCAAGUAAGAUUUUAGUAGUGAAACAGGUGAAAACUUGUCAGUCAGCUCAAACGCAAAAGCUAGAUUAACAGCAUCUAUAUGCCUCCCGUUAUUAACCAACACGUCAAUAACACCUGGCAUUCUCUCAGACAAUCCAAGGGAACGACAGAGAUCUGCUGUUUGGCGACGACGUGAAACCAUGGGUAUCAGCUUGUACAGGUCUUCCUGGUUAAAGUUGGAGUUAAUACCGAAAGUAGCAAGAAGCUGUAAGAAUGCAUGAGCCUCCAAAGAAUUUCCAUUAUUUGCAUCAACAUCAAGUUCAUCCAACUUCGGGUUCCACUCUUCAGCAAUAGCUUUUGCACGUCCUCUAGUAUUUUCUGAUAUUAUACUUGAAAUGGAAUCUGUAUCCAGGGUGUUCAAUAAAGUACUAAGGCAUUCCAGCAACAUAAUACAAGUUCGCCGCAGUCCCAAAAGAUUAGCAUCUUUUUUAGCAUCAGAAAUAGACAUAUCAGAGUUGUAAAACCCGUGCAGCGAAUCCAGAACCAGAGAGGCGGGAUUGGUUGAAGCUCUUAAAGCAAGUGGAAUCUCCUCCCUGAGUGCUGCCAGGUUUUUACGGUUGUCUGAUAUGAAUUUGUGCAGACCUUCAGAAUCCAUAUUUCGGCAUAGAUUAACUAGCUCUGGAUAAGACUUAACUUCCACAACACUAUCCUGAAAAGAUUUCCAUGUAUCCCCUGUAACAAGCCCAAUUUCUGUUAAAUUAUCGGGUUUCUCUUCCAGAACAGAUGGCUCGUCUUCAACUUCACAAUUAAUAACAGUUGGUUCCACAGAACAAGGGCUCCUAUGCUUCUCCAAAGCAAUUGAAAUGGCAGAAACUGCUGCAUCUCUUUUCUCCUGGAGCCUCUGAAGAGAAGAUUGCUCUUUAGCAAUAACAGCUGCUUGACGCUUCUCCAAUAUCUCUGUAGAUUGAACAAUUUUUGUCUCGAACUCCUUCUCUUGGUCUUCCAGUUCAGUGAAACGCCUCUUCAAGGAUUUCUGAAGCCCAUUAAAGUGCUCUUCAAGUUGCUUCCACUGCAGGUUGAGAGUAACAGCACGGUGACUUUCCAACUCAGCGAAUGCUUUCUGUAGUUGCUGUAUCUUAGAUGUUGUAGAGUCCAUCAAUGUUGCAACUGAUUGUGUAUCUUCCAUGGUAAAACUCCACGAUCGGCGUAGGCGGCGAUAGGCGAAGAAGAGAUGUCGGCGGCAAAUUACGCCGGAGAAUUUAGACCAUUUUGGGUUUG